UGUGGCCGAUCACCCUCUCAGGUCGGCUAUGCAUCGUGGCCUUGGUGAGCCGUUACCUCACCAACUAGCUAAUGCACCGCGGGUCCAUCCAUCAGCGACACCCGAAAGCGCCUUUCAAAUCAAAACCAUGCGGUUUUGAUUGUUAUACGGUAUUAGCACCUGUUUCCAAGUGUUAUCCCCUUCUGAUGGGCAGGUUACCCACGUGUUACUCACCCGUUCGCCACUCCUCUUUUUCCGGUGGAGCAAGCUCCGGUGGAAAAAGAAGCGUUCGACUUGCAUGUAUUAGGCACGCCGCCAGCGUUCGUCCUGAGCCAGGAU
RNAcentral lists this ribosomal RNA (318 nucleotides) under uncultured Enterococcus sp. RNAcentral describes it as "partial 16S ribosomal RNA". The record is from RNAcentral. Lineage: Bacteria; Bacillati; Bacillota; Bacilli; Lactobacillales; Enterococcaceae.